This 108-nucleotide small nuclear RNA is filed under the name Echinops telfairi (small Madagascar hedgehog). The record is from RNAcentral. Lineage: Eukaryota; Metazoa; Chordata; Mammalia; Afrosoricida; Tenrecidae.
GUGCUUGCUUCGGCAGCACAUAUACUAAAAUUGGAACAAGAGAGAGAAGAUUAGCAUGGCCCCUGCACAAGGAUGACAUGCAAAAUUCAUGACACAUUCCAUAUAAAA